CCCAGACUCCUACGGGAGGCAGCAGUGGGGAAUAUUGCACAAUGGGGGAAACCCUGAUGCAGCGACGCCGCGUGAGUGAAGAAGUAUUUCGGUAUGUAAAGCUCUAUCAGCAGGGAAGAAAAAAGACGGUACCUGACUAAGAAGCCCCGGCUAACUACGUGCCAGCAGCCGCGGUAAUACGUAGGGGGCAAGCGUUAUCCGGAUUUACUGGGUGUAAAGGGAGCGUAGACGGCAAUACAAGUCGGAAGUGAAAUACCCGGGCUCAACCUGGGAACUGCUUUGGAAACUGUAUGGCUGGAGUGCUGGAGAGGUAAGCGGAAUUCCUAGUGUAGCGGUGAAAUGCGUAGAUAUUAGGAGGAACACCAGUGGCGAAGGCGGCUUACUGGACAGUAACUGACGUUGAGGCUCGAAAGCGUGGGGAGCAAACAGGAUUAGAUACCCUAGUAC
This 447-nucleotide ribosomal RNA is filed under the name uncultured bacterium. RNAcentral describes it as "bacterial SSU rRNA". It matches the Rfam family "Bacterial small subunit ribosomal RNA", at positions 330 to 793 of the family's 1533-position model. The record is from RNAcentral.